GGAGUUCCCUGGUGGUGCAGUGGGUUAAGGAUCCAGUGUUGUCACUGCUGUGGUGCAGGCUCGAUCCCUGGCCUGGGAACUUCUACAUGCUGCAGGUGUGGUUAAAAAUAAAAAUUAAAAUUAAAAAGUCAGUUAGUGGUUAGUGCCUCUGCUCACAAGCUGCAGAUAUGUGAGAAAUGCCCACUACCAGCUUAUACGCUCACUCUCAUUCCACUCAUUUCUUGUCAAGAAAUACCCACUGAGCACCUACUGUCUACAUCACACUUUCUUACUGUUGGAAACAUUGUUAAGAAGCUUGUCUCUGUUCUCAGGGGUUUCCAUCCAGUGAAGGAAGAUGAGGAAAGAGAGGAGUGGACAGGAGACCUAGAUCAUUCAGAGUGAUGAGAUCUGUGAAGGAAAUGGGGCAGACUAAAGGCACAGCAGUUCUGAGACCUCAGACGACCUCACCCGCAAAGCGAGCUGGAUGCAUAUCCACACCCACCUCGGGCUGUAGAGAUGAAGAUGCAGAGACUCAGCAGUGAAGGGGGUCAAGAGCAAGUAUAUCUAGGGGGAAAAAAAGAAGAAGAAGAAGAAGAAGCAUGUCUUCUGAGAAAAAAAACUGUGUGUCUCAAAAAUUCAGCUUGACGAAUUUCACAGACUGACCACACUUUUGCAACCAGCACUAAGAUAGAACAUCUCAGAAACAAAGAGCUUCCCCAUUGCCACGGGCCACUGGUCCCCCCGCAAGAGUAACCACUCUCCAGACCCUGACACCCUUGCCUGGCUUUGAACUGUAUAUAAAUGGGAUGAAAGUAUAUGUUCUCUUUAGUGUCUGACUUUUCCUGCUGACGUUACUGUUGAUAUAUCCUUCUGUAUUGCUACAUGAGGCUGGCAUAGUUUUUUAUCUUUUUUUUAUCACCAAGUAGAAUUGCCACCACCACCACUCAGCGCUCCCCGCAUCCUCCACCCGCCACUCCAGGCAUUGCAGACACUGUCAGUCUUGGCACUUAGCAACAGUGCCACCGUCUAAAUCCCAGCACCUCUGUUUGGUGAACAAAAGCACAUGUUUCUGUUCAGCAUGAACUUUGAGUGGACUCAGGAAUCACAAAGCAAGUCUGUGUACAGCUUUUUAAAAACUUUUGAGGCGUUCCCGUCGUGGCUCAGUGGAAAUGAAUCCGACUACCAUCCAUAAGGACACAGGUUCAAUCCCUGGCCUCGCUCAGUGGGUUAAGGAUCCAGCGUUGCUGUGAGCUGUGGUGUAGUUCGAAGACACAGCUUGGAUCUGGCAUGGCUGUGGCUGUGGCAUAGGCCAGAGGCUAUAGCUCCAAUUCGACCAGUAGCCUGGGAACUUCCAUAUGCCACAGGUGCAGCCCUAAAAAUAAAUAAAUAAAUAAAUAAAUAAAUAAAUAAAUA
Molecule: long non-coding RNA, 1392 nt
Filed under: Sus scrofa (pig)
Lineage: Eukaryota; Metazoa; Chordata; Mammalia; Artiodactyla; Suidae
Description: lncRNA (ENSSSCG00030024213.1)
Source: RNAcentral